This 716-nucleotide small RNA is filed under the name Pongo abelii (Sumatran orangutan). Its description in RNAcentral is "retained intron". The record is from RNAcentral. Lineage: Eukaryota; Metazoa; Chordata; Mammalia; Primates; Hominidae.
CCAUCUUUUCUGGCGCUGGCUCCUCUUGGUCAGUGCGGUUUCGCCUUUAUGGUGGUGGAGUACGCCCAAGCUGUGGGACUAUCAGUCCUCCCUGUGCAGCCAGUUCAGAGAGGCUGCACACUCUCUCGGCUCACUGCAACCUCUGCCUCCAGGGUCAAGCAGUUCUCCUGCCUCAGCCUUCCGAGUACCUGGGAUUACAGGACAGCAAAUAACCCUGUACAAAGGGGAAUGGAGAUUGCCUCUAUCCACCUAGAUUCAUAAGAUGCCCUGAGGUGAUCUUGGCAUCACGGAAGGUAUGCACAUCACACCAUCAGCUUCAGAGAAUGGCAGCCAUUUAUUUGUCCCGUGGGUUUUUUUCCAGGGAACCAAUCUGCCCUUUUGAAGAAAAGACAGAGGUAGAAAGGAUGGUGGAGGACUACCUGGCAAACGGUUAUCAGGUAAGCAGAAAAUGUACUGUUGUUAAAAAUGACAUGCUUUCAUCCAAUAGGUAGACACCUUUCUUUCUAGACAGACUCAUCUCCAGAGUUUUCUUAGAGCAAGUGAAGCCUUACUCGAGGACUGAGUCCCCAGAUGAAUUUCCCCAGAGAAUGAAGUCUCCUGUACAUAAAGUGUUAACUUGAAAAUCAGUCCGGUAGCUCAGUAAUUAUUACUUAAGCUUGACCUUCAUGGUGCCAACUGCAUCUUUCUUACAUUGCUGGGUGUGGUGACAGAUGAUA